This 433-nucleotide ribosomal RNA is filed under the name uncultured bacterium. Its description in RNAcentral is "partial 16S ribosomal RNA". It matches the Rfam family "Bacterial small subunit ribosomal RNA", at positions 29 to 507 of the family's 1533-position model. The record is from RNAcentral.
AACGAACGCUGGCGGCAUGCCUAACACAUGCAAGUCGAACGAGACCUUCGGGUCUAGUGGCGCACGGGUGCGUAACGCGUGGGAACCUGCCCUUAGGUUCGGAAUAACUCCCCGAAAGGGGUGCUAAUACCGGAUAAUGUCUUCGGACCAAAGAUUUAUCGCCUUUGGAUGGGCCCGCGUUGGAUUAGCUAGUUGGUAGGGUAAAAGCCUACCAAGGCGACGAUCCAUAGCUGGUCUGAGAGGAUGAUCAGCCACACUGGGACUGAGACACGGCCCAGACUCCUACGGGAGGCAGCAGUGGGUAAUAUUGGACAAUGGGCGAAAGCCUGAUCCAGCAAUGCCGCGUGAGUGAUGAAGGCCUUAGGGUUGUAAAGCUCUUUUACCCGGGAUGAUAAUGACAGUACCGGGAGAAUAAGCGCCGGCUAACUCCGUG